Molecule: small RNA, 126 nt
Filed under: bovine gut metagenome
Description: Histidine operon leader
Rfam family: Histidine operon leader
About the family: At least 6 amino acid operons are known to be regulated by attenuation.
Source: RNAcentral
CAUCAUCACCACCAUCCCUAGCAGUCUUUCAGGAGGAUGGUUUCUGGGAGACAUGAUUAAUCUUCCAGACCGGCAUUUAUAAAAGAUGACAACCCUUGGAAGAUCAGAACUUCCGAGGGUUUUAAU